Molecule: long non-coding RNA, 1396 nt
Filed under: Hordeum vulgare
Lineage: Eukaryota; Viridiplantae; Streptophyta; Magnoliopsida; Poales; Poaceae
Description: long non-coding RNA (HVUL_LNC013944)
Source: RNAcentral
AUGGCUGAAUUGGAUUCAUCGUAAUGCAAUUAGGAGCGUAAAACUUCUCGAUCCUAUAGAAUGUCUUAGAAUUAGUUGCAAAAGAGAUGCAUUGCUUUUAAGUUUAGACUAUCUCCACUUAUGGGGAAAGUAAGAUAAAUGACCUUCUUUUGACGUGCGAACAAAUAAGAGAACUAGCUCGACAUGCUAGAUAGACCAAAUAACUUGACCUAAUUAGGACGCUUGGUAUGGAUGCAUGUGAUUUUCUUUACCUCUUUAACCAUACAGUUGAGUUUUAGGACUUCCUUGGUUCGCAAGCCUUUGAAAUCUAAGAAUAUGCAUAGCACCAGAAUAUCAUAGGAAUGCAUAAGCAAAAUAGAGUAAUAGGGAGCACCUUUUGCAAAUAUAGAUGUUUGUUUUAUAUGAUAGAGAAAACACAGUUGUAUUAAAGUCAAACUACAUGAAACAUAUAACUAGGAUUACGGAUGUAAACGGCGCCACACACAUAGUUUUUUUUUUGUUAACUUGAUAGCUCCUUUUUCAUGAAAAAGAAACUUUGUUGAACCGUUAGACUGGUAAGUGGGAUUAAAGCCUUAAACGAUGCGCCGUUUAGAUCCUGAAUUAGGAUGUUAAUAUGACAAAAAAAUCUUGUUCUUGUAAUCUUCUGUCCAGUAAUUCUAAAAUUAGGUUAGUAGGGAUUGUAAAUUCUUGAGUUUCCAUAUGAAUCAAAGAAAAAAUAGCAUUUUUUUGGUCCAAUCCUUUGAGCCGGUCGAAUGAGUGGUGCAUCGAACCGAAAACAUCCUAUUAUGUGUUUUUACUGAGUUUUCCUAUGAGCAAAGGAGGCAUACAUAACAAAUGAUGAGCAUAGCGGCAGAAUUGCAUUUGGCUCACAAGGCUCCACUAGCUUUCUUUCGAAAAUAUGAAACACAGACAAAAAAAACCUAUAGUAGUCAUAAUGCGACCCACAUAAUAGCUGAGCUUGGGAUGGAUCACACUUGUGUGUUCUUUAUACGUUCCACCCAUCAUCUAGACAUUGGACAUUAAAUUUUACAUGUACCAUAGACCAACCGUCCCUUCUUAAGGAUUCUGCUUCCUAUAUAAUCUCCUCCUCUUGACACGUUCGAAUACCCUACCUUUCCUAUAGAUAUUUCCCUAGGACCUGCCGUGAUUCUUUAUGAUUUUGUUAUACACUUGAUCAAAUACUCAGCACAAUAAAGAGUUCCAAGAGUAUGACGGAACAAUGCUUACGAAUCAGGCCGGGUAACACCCACAGGUUUUGGCACAAUAAAUUCAAGAAAAAUGUAUGGGAAAGAUGUGUAGUUUCGACUUAGAAUUGUGAGACAUCAGAAUAGCCUAUCGAGUAAGUGUCCGUUUUACAGGAAGUGUCAUAAUCAAAGGUUGUAGUUUGUUGGAACGA